Molecule: unclassified non-coding RNA, 400 nt
Filed under: soil metagenome
Description: partial contains 5.8S ribosomal RNA, internal transcribed spacer 2, and large subunit ribosomal RNA
Rfam family: 5.8S ribosomal RNA (bases 1-122)
Source: RNAcentral
GAUGAAGAACGCAGCGAAAUGCGAUACUUGGUGUGAAUUGCAGAAUCCCGUGAACCAUCGAGUCUUUGAACGCAAGUUGCGCCUCAAGCCAUUAGGUUGAGGGCACGUCUGCCUGGGCGUCACAUAUCGUUGCCUGAUGCCAGUUUCCUCGUGAUGGGUGACUGUGCAGGGCGAAUGAUGGCUUCCCGUGAGCAUUGUUGCCUCAUGGUUGGUUGAAAAUUGAGUCCUUGGUAGGGAGCGCCGUGAUAGAUGGUGGUUGAGUGACGAACGAGGCCCAAUCAUGUGAGACCCCUACCGAAUUUGGCCUUCAUGACCCACAUGCGUCUUUGGAACGCUCAUGACGAGACCUCAGGUCAGGCGGGGCUACCCGCUGAGUUUAAGCAUAUCAAUAAGCGGAGGA